AUGCUGGUUUGGACCGCAGCUGACGUCCAAUCAGACAACGGGACCACUGCCCCUGUCAUAAUGACAACCAUGACAUCACGGCAAGGGCUCGCCGAGAGAAGACAGCGGAGCUCCAGACGGAGAGCGGGGCUGCGCGGGACUGCGAGCUGGACCGAAGCGCGCAGGUGGCGGCGUGAGGAGCGCGCGGACGCCCGGGCUGCGGAGGGUGGUGACGGGCGGGAGGCGCUGGAUGGAUUCCGGCGGCACACAGGAGCUCUGCCCCGGACUGACUCGGGCUGCAUCGGCGGCUGGAGAAAGAGGAAGUUAUGGAGGAGGCUGAGCGGAGAAAAACGCAUUUUUUUAAUUUCUGCCAAUCAAGACGAGAUGAGACAACUCCCAGCCUUGCAUUCCCGCUGGUCCUCAAAGACAAAGUUUGUUGCCUGGAGAGGUUUUUCCAGCAAAAAUUCCCAACAUUCCCAGCCAUGUAACCGAGGACUGAUGACUCAGACAUGUGACCAGGAACCAAAAAGGCAAUAUAAGCAACUGGUAGGUGCAGACACACACCCAAACACACAACAGAUCAUACAUACACAAGCAUGCUCAGACACAUGGAGCCAUGCAGAAAGAGACACCGAUGCGUUGCCCUGCCCAGCUUCCGCUGCGCUCCAAAUUGAGCGCGGCACAGUGUUUAUGAAGUCAGUUGCCUGGAUGGGAGCCAAGCAUUGUUCCAUCAAGCAGCUGGAUGUUAAUUCCUAA
RNAcentral lists this long non-coding RNA (735 nucleotides) under Nothobranchius furzeri (turquoise killifish). Its description in RNAcentral is "lncRNA (ENSNFUG00015017102.1)". The record is from RNAcentral. Lineage: Eukaryota; Metazoa; Chordata; Actinopteri; Cyprinodontiformes; Nothobranchiidae.